Molecule: ribosomal RNA, 491 nt
Filed under: uncultured bacterium
Lineage: Bacteria
Description: partial 16S ribosomal RNA
Rfam family: Bacterial small subunit ribosomal RNA
Source: RNAcentral
GUGAACGCUGGCGGUAGGCCUAACACAUGCAAGUCGAACGGCAGCACAGUAAGCGCUUGCUCUUACGGGUGGCGAGUGGCGGACGGGUGAGGAAUACAUCGGAAUCUACUUUUUCGUGGGGGAUAACGUAGGGAAACUUACGCUAAUACCGCAUACGACCUACGGGUGAAAGCAGGGGAUCUUCGGACCUUGCGCGAUUGAAUGAGCCGAUGUCGGAUUAGCUAGUUGGCGGGGUAAAGGCCCACCAAGGCGACGAUCCGUAGCUGGUCUGAGAGGAUGAUCAGCCACACUGGAACUGAGACACGGUCCAGACUCCUACGGGAGGCAGCAGUGGGGAAUAUUGGACAAUGGGCGCAAGCCUGAUCCAGCCAUACCGCGUGGGUGAAGAAGGCCUUCGGGUUGUAAAGCCCUUUUGUUGGGAAAGAAAAGCAGCAGGUUAAUACCCCGCUGUUCUGACGGUACCCAAAGAGUAAGCACCGGCUAACUUCGUG